RNAcentral lists this ribosomal RNA (305 nucleotides) under uncultured bacterium. RNAcentral describes it as "partial 16S ribosomal RNA". It matches the Rfam family "Bacterial small subunit ribosomal RNA", at positions 338 to 660 of the family's 1533-position model. The record is from RNAcentral.
CCUACGGGGGGCAGCAGUGGGGAAUAUUGCACAAUGGGGGGAACCCUGAUGCAGCAAUGCCGCGUGGGUGAAGAAGCACUCCGGUGCGUAAAGCCCUGUCAGCAGGGAAGAAAAUGACGGUACCUGACUAAGAAGCCCCGGCUAACUACGUGCCAGCAGCCGCGGUAAUACGUAGGGGGCAAGCGUUAUCCGGAUUUACUGGGUGUAAAGGGAGCGUAGACGGCGAUGCAAGUCUGAAGUGAAAGGCGGGGGCCCAACCCCCGGACUGCUUUGGAAACUGUAUGGCUGGAGUGCAGGAGAGGUAA